This 467-nucleotide ribosomal RNA is filed under the name uncultured bacterium. RNAcentral describes it as "partial 16S ribosomal RNA". It matches the Rfam family "Bacterial small subunit ribosomal RNA", at positions 28 to 507 of the family's 1533-position model. The record is from RNAcentral.
GACGAACGCUGGCGGCGUGCUUAACACAUGCAAGUCGAACGGAAAGGCCCUGCUUUUGUGGGGUGCUCGAGUGGCGAACGGGUGAGUAACACGUGAGUAACCUGCCCUUGACUUUGGGAUAACUUCAGGAAACUGGGGCUAAUACCGGAUAGGAGCUCCUGCUGCAUGGUGGGGGUUGGAAAGUUUCGGCGGUUGGGAUGGACUCGCGGCUUAUCAGCUUGUUGGUGGGGUAGCGGCUUACCAAGGCUUUGACGGGUAGCCGGCCUGAGAGGGUGACCGGCCACAUUGGGACUGAGAUACGGCCCAGACUCCUACGGGAGGCAGCAGUGGGGAAUAUUGCACAAUGGGCGGAAGCCUGAUGCAGCAACGCCGCGUGCGGGAUGACGGCCUUCGGGUUGUAAACCGCUUUCGCCUGUGACGAAGCGUGAGUGACGGUAAUGGGUAAAGAAGCACCGGCUAACUACGUG